RNAcentral lists this ribosomal RNA (465 nucleotides) under Vreelandella stevensii. RNAcentral's name for it is "partial 16S ribosomal RNA". It matches the Rfam family "Bacterial small subunit ribosomal RNA", at positions 338 to 795 of the family's 1533-position model. Lineage: Bacteria; Pseudomonadati; Pseudomonadota; Gammaproteobacteria; Oceanospirillales; Halomonadaceae. The record is from RNAcentral.
CCUACGGGGGGCUGCAGUGGGGAAUAUUGGACAAUGGGGGGAACCCUGAUCCAGCCAUGCCGCAUGUGUGAAGAAGGCCCUCGGGUUGUAAAGCACUUUCAGUGAGGAAGAACGCCUGGUGGUUAAUACCCAUCAGGAAAGACAUCACUCACAGAAGAAGCACCGGCUAACUCCGUGCCAGCAGCCGCGGUAAUACGGAGGGUGCGAGCGUUAAUCGGAAUUACUGGGCGUAAAGCGCGCGUAGGUGGCUUGAUAAGCCGGUUGUGAAAGCCCCGGGCUCAACCUGGGAACGGCAUCCGGAACUGUCAAGCUAGAGUGCAGGAGAGGAAGGUAGAAUUCCCGGUGUAGCGGUGAAAUGCGUAGAGAUCGGGAGGAAUACCAGUGGCGAAGGCGGCCUUCUGGACUGACACUGACACUGAGGUGCGAAAGCGUGGGUAGCAAACAGGAUUAGAUACCCCAGUAGUC